ACAGGCUCCAGCUUUCUGCUCUGAUGUCUGCACUCAAGCUUUGGAGGCUCUUGCCAAGCAUUCACCCUCACAGGUUCUGGAACAAGCUCCAAGGCAGAGGGAUGAUGGCCUGGCUGAGCCGCACCGCGCAGGCGCUCUUCCCCAGCGCAGACGCCCUGCUCUGUCCUGACAGUCCCGCGUUGCCCUCAAUCUGAAGGUAUGGAUAAUUAAGCGCAGUGAGAUUGGAGAGCAUCCUCCGAUGCACUGUACAUUUGGGAGGAAGAGAAAGGAUAAGAGCCCUGCUGAUUCAGUGGUGGUCAUUAUCAUUGUCAAUGGAGCUGUCACUGUUAUCGUCAUUUUCGUUUGCGGUGAGAGAUCAUCUGGUUCCAUCUUGUCUUGAGAAUGGACAUCAAAGUACUAUUUUUGUUGUGAUUGUUCAAGGAUUGCUGCCAUGACUCAAAAUGGGACCAUGCCUUCAGAUCUCCAUCUGCUCCACCCAGGUAAUAAGGACACUUGGAGCCUUCAUGCUCCAUUUGUGACUGGCAAUACAGGGACCUAAAGGCUAAGGUGUUCUAUCUUCAGCAAAAAGGAACAAUCUUAGAGUCUGGUGGAAAAGGAUCAUGCCAUAUACUCUGGGGAACAGAUUUCUGAUGGCAUUGUUUAAACAACUAUGAAAUCAUACCAUUGGACUGAGUCAGGAGUUGCAGAUGUCUAGUUGAGAAGCAGAUGCAUUCAUGAAACAACACAAGAUCAGGUGGAAGAAGAGUGAAUUUUAUAGAACUGAAUGAGCAGAUGAUUAUGAUUUCUAUUUGAAAUAUUGUUAAGGUUUUAUUGCUCUAUUUUUUGGAAGUAAGAAUUUCUUUUCUUUUUCUCUUAAGUUAUCGCUCAAACAAUUUUAUAGACUAUGCUAAUUUCUUGUAAACAGAAAUGAAACUUCUUUCUUUUCUUCCCUGACUCACCCAUUCCAAAUCUGGAAACUCUCAUUGAGUCUUGUUAUCUUCAUGGCAAUAUAGUUAUUUGCAUAGAUACCAUAAGAGUCUGUCCUCCUUGUUAACAGGAUGCAAGCAAAAACAUUGGUAAUACAACCAAGGCUUUGCCUGGAUGUCAUAUUUGAGAAUGAUGCUUAUUUGAUCAGAUAUGACCAGACACUUUUAAGGAACUAAAGUUGAGCCCCAAAACUCCUUAAGAUAAUAAGCAACUUCAGCAAAGUCUCAGGAUAGAAAAUCUGUGUGAAAAAAUGACAAUCAUUCUUAUAAACCAACAAUAGAUGAGCAAAGCCAAAUCAUGAAUGAACUCCCAUUCGCAAUUGCUACAAAGAGAAUAAAAUACCUAGGAAUACAGCUAACAAGGGAUGUGAAGGACCUCCUCAAAAAGAACUACAAACCACUGCUCAAGGAAAUAGGAGAUGAUACAAUCAAGUGGAAAAACAUUCUAUCCUUAUGGAUAGGAAGAAUCAAUAUUGUAAAAAUGGCCAUACUGCCCAAAGUGAUGUAUAGAUUCAAUGCUAUUCCCAUCAAACUACCAUUGACAUUCUUCAAAGAAUUAGAAAAAACUACUUUAAAUUUCAUAUGGAACCAAAAAACAGCCUGUAUGGCUAAGACAAUAAUAAGCAAAAAGAACAAAGCUGGAGGCAUCACGCUACCUGACUUCAACCUAUACAAGGCUACAGUUACCAAAACAGCAUGGUACUGGUACCAAAACAGACAUAUAGACCAAUGGAACAGAACAGAAACCUCAGAAAUAACACCACACAUCUAAAACCAUCUGAUCUUCUACAAACCAGACAAAAACAAGCAACGGGGAAAGGAUUCCCUAUUUAAUAAAUGGUGCUAGGAAAACUGGCUAGCCAUAUGCAGAAAACAAAUUGGACCCUUCUCUUACACUUUAUACAAAAAUUUACUCAAGAUAGAUUAAAGACUUAAAUGUAAAACCCAAACCAUAAAAACCCUAGGAGAAAACCUAGGCAAUAUCAUUCAGGACAUAUGCAUGGGCAAAGACUUCAUGAUGAAAAUGCCAAAAGCAAUUGCAACAAAAGCCAAAAUUGACAAAUGGGAUCUAAUUAAACUAAAGAGCUUCUGCACAGCAAAAGAAACUAUCAUCAGAGUGAACAGGCAACCUACAGAAUGGGAGAAAAUUUUUGCAAUCUACCCAUCUGACAAAGGUGUAAUAUCCAGAAUCUACAAGUAACUUAAAGAAAUUUACAAGAAAAAAAAAGACCAUCAAAAAGUGAGUGAAGGAUAUGAACAGACACUUCUCAAAAAAGACAUUUAUGCAGCCAACAAACAUAUGAAAAAAAGCUCAAUAUCACUGAUCAUUAGAGAAAUGCAAAUCGAAAUCACAAUGAGAUACCAUUUCACACCAGUAAGAAGGGUGAUUAUUAUUAAAAAAUCAAGAAACGAUAGAUGCUGGCGAGGCUGUGGAGAAAUAGGAACACUUUUACACUGUUGGUGGGAAUGUAAAUUAGUUCAAUCAUUGUGGAAGACAGUGUGGUGAUUCCUCAAGGAUCUAGAACCAGAAAUACUAUUUGACCUAGCAAUCCCAUUACUGGGUAUAUACCCAAAGGAAUACAAAUCAUUCUACUAUAAAAACACAUGCACACAUAUGUUUAUUGCAGCACUAUUUUACCAUAGCAAAGACAUGGAACCAACCCAAAUGCCCAUCAAUGAUAGGCUGGAUAAAGAAAACGUGGUACAUAUAUACCAUGGAAUACUGUACAGCCAUAAAAAGGAAUGAGUUCAUGUCCUUUGCAGGGACAUGGAUGAAGCUAGAAGCCAUCAUCUUCAGCAAACUAACACAAGAACAGAAAACCAAUCACCACAUGUUCUCACUUGUAAGUGGGAGUUGAACAAUGAGAAUACAUGGACACAGGGAGGGGAACAACACACACCAGGGCCAGUUGGGGGUUAGGGGGUGAGGGGAAGGGAGAGCAUUAGGAGAAAUAGCUAAUGCAUGUGGGGCUUAAAACCUAGAUGACGGGUUGAUAGGUGCAGCAAACCACCAUGGCACAUGUAUACCUAUGUAACAAACAUACACGUUCUACAUUUGUAUCCCAGAACUUAAAAUAAAAAUUUAAAAAAAGUUG
Molecule: long non-coding RNA, 3061 nt
Organism: Homo sapiens (human)
Lineage: Eukaryota; Metazoa; Chordata; Mammalia; Primates; Hominidae
Product: long intergenic non-protein coding RNA 2964
Source: Ensembl